Molecule: unclassified non-coding RNA, 238 nt
Filed under: Hevea brasiliensis (rubber tree)
Lineage: Eukaryota; Viridiplantae; Streptophyta; Magnoliopsida; Malpighiales; Euphorbiaceae
Source: RNAcentral
UGGUUAUAAUUCUAGCUUACUUACUGUAUGUUGCCUUUCAUCAUAUAGUGCAUUCUGUAGUAUAAAGAAUAUAACAAUCGAAGAAUGAAAACAUGGACAUUAAUAAGUACCAACAAAUAAGGUCCAAAGGAGGCGCAAAUUGACUAACCAGAUCCAAUAUUUUGAUUCUAUUCUAUUUAUCUACUACUAUGAUUCAGUUCAAUUUAUAAUUUAGUGUGUUGAUUUUUCGAUUAUUUCA